Molecule: ribosomal RNA, 378 nt
Filed under: uncultured organism
Description: bacterial SSU rRNA
Rfam family: Bacterial small subunit ribosomal RNA
Source: RNAcentral
CGCAAUGGGCGAAAGCCUGACGGAGCGACACCGCGUGAAGGAUGAAGCCUUUGUUGGUGUAAACUUCUUUUCUCUCGGAAGAUAAUGACGGUACGAGAGGAAUAAGGGGCGGCAAACUUCGUGCCAGCAGCCGCGGUAAUACGAAGGCCCCAAGCGUUAUCCGGAAUUACUGGGCGUAAAGCGUCUGUAGGUGGUUUCUUAAGUCUUACCGUGAAACUUCGGGGCUCAACCCUGAAUUGCGGGAGAAACUGGGAGACUUGAGUGUGGGAGAGGCUAGCAGAACGGUAAGAGUAGGGGUGCAAUCCGUUGAUACUUACCAGAAUACCAAAAGCGAAGGCAGCUAGCUGGAACACUACUGACACUGAGAGACGAAAGCGU